GGCUUGAUCUCAUGACCCUGAGAUCACGACCUUUGCUGAGACCAAGAGUCAGACGCUUAUCCAACUGCACCACACAGGCUUUUAUCUGAGAUGACUCUUAUCAAUAUACCCCAGGAGAUAUGCACAGAAGUGUUCAAGCAGCCCUGGCCAUACGAGAAGUAUCUGGGAAACAAUCCUGAUGGCCAUCUACAGGAGGACGGAUAAAUACGUGGGCUUCUUUGCAACAACUGCCUGUUCAUCCUUGAGCACAGAAAACAAAUAGAUACCUCAGAAAACCUCCUGGACUUUAGAUCUACUCAUUCCUCCACCUAUUCCAACUUGUGGCAGCAGCUCCAUCCUCAUGGUCUUCGGAGUCAGUUACCCCUGAUAGGAGUAACUUUCUUUGCCUGCUGGUUUAUGGAUUUUGAGAGCCAAAAAUGACAAGGCUGUACUCAUAAUUUCAAGUUCAGAGGAAUCCUUAUAUUGUCUUUCAUAGAAAUUUCCACCUGCUGAAAUCCUGGCCUAUAACUGAGAAUACCUAACGUUUCGGAGAUGGAAAACAAAAUUUUCAAGUGGAUCAUUUGGAAUGAUGAUGGCUAAAGACAAUAAUAUUACCCUUUGGUUCUUGGAAUCGUGUAUUCUGGCCAGUAGAGACAGAGUACCAUGAGCAUAGGUCUACUGCAUGUGCUGUAUCCUGGAGUACAGUCGCCAACCCUGAGCUGGCACAUUACUAAGUAUUAGUAGGCUCUUCCACAGUUCUGUUAUAUGGGUGGAUUGUAGGUUUAGUCUAUAACAUAAGACUAGUGGAUGCUAUGGUCAGAUGCCGAUUGUCUCACUUUCUUUGUUCACCAUGAU
Long non-coding RNA from Mustela erminea (ermine), 834 nucleotides. RefSeq lists it as uncharacterized. The record is from RefSeq and is a predicted model, not a curated record. NCBI's taxonomy places the organism in Eukaryota, Metazoa, Chordata, Mammalia, Carnivora, Mustelidae. The transcript has 3 exons.